Molecule: small nuclear RNA, 183 nt
Filed under: Zea mays
Lineage: Eukaryota; Viridiplantae; Streptophyta; Magnoliopsida; Poales; Poaceae
Description: U2 spliceosomal RNA
Rfam family: U2 spliceosomal RNA
About the family: U2 is a small nuclear RNA (snRNA) component of the spliceosome (involved in pre-mRNA splicing). Complementary binding between U2 snRNA (in an area lying towards the 5' end but 3' to hairpin I) and the branchpoint sequence (BPS) of the intron results the bulging out of an unpaired adenosine, on the BPS, which initiates a nucleophilic attack at the intronic 5' splice site, thus starting the first of two transesterification reactions that mediate splicing.
Source: Rfam by way of RNAcentral
AUAACUUUAUCGGUCUUUUGACUAAUAUAUAGUAUAAUAUUUGUUUCAUCAGUUUAAUAUCUGAUUUGACGACUAUAUGUUCAUUUUGAUAUUAAAUUUAUUUCUCUCACUAAAACACAUCAAAUAUUUGAACAUUAAUCGCGAGUCUGUCGCCCUAGCGCUGGCGACCUGCCCUAACUGCUC